AUGUUGGUGGUUCAGUGGUAGAAUUCUCGCCUUCCAUGCAGGAGACCUGGGUUCAAUUUCCGGCCAACACA
This 71-nucleotide transfer RNA is filed under the name Loxodonta africana (African savanna elephant). It matches the Rfam family "tRNA". Rfam says of the family: Transfer RNA (tRNA) molecules are approximately 80 nucleotides in length. Their secondary structure includes four short double-helical elements and three loops (D, anti-codon, and T loops). The record is from Rfam by way of RNAcentral. Lineage: Eukaryota; Metazoa; Chordata; Mammalia; Proboscidea; Elephantidae.